This is a long non-coding RNA of Malaclemys terrapin pileata, 640 nucleotides long. RefSeq lists it as uncharacterized. NCBI's taxonomy places the organism in Eukaryota, Metazoa, Chordata, Testudines, Emydidae. The transcript is spliced from 3 exons. The record is from RefSeq and is a predicted model, not a curated record.
CCCCUUCACAAACACGUCCCUAGCGGCAGAAGGCUCCGAUCCGCAGCAGAGCCACUUCCACCCAGCGUCAGCAGGACAAGGAAAUGAGAACUUAAAUUCUGUCAGUUUAGUUGGAUGGAUGACAUUGAUUCAACCUCUUUUCCCCCAUGGUGACUGCAGAAGAUAUAAAUUCGGAACGCCACCCCAGUAGGGUUGUAUUGUGUUAUACCCUAGUCUCAUGGAAAUAAGUCUUUCAGUGAAACUUCAAAUCUGCCUUAACCAAGGCUCCCUAUCAUCAGGACCAGGACUAUCUGCAACAGGGAACAGCUCCAACCUGUAAGUGGCAUAACCACUCCUGUGGGAGGGACUGAGUCUAUAAAUACACUGAAUGCCUGCAGCCACAUAAGCACAGCUGCUGAUGCAGCAGAGCAGCCAGAAAGAGGUGCAUUUAAUUAACGAAGAGAAAGAAAAGGACCUGGGAUGGAAGUGGAGAGAUGGAAAAUACGGAAACAAGGUGUGCGCCUUCUAUACAGCUCACUCUAGGCUAGAUGGGUUGGAAGGAAAGAAGUCAAGAGGAAAAACAACUUGUUUGAAUUUGCAAGAACAGGUGGCUUUUCAAGCCCUCUGGCCCCCAAUCCAUGUGAUCCUAUUUAUCCUCCCU